This 190-nucleotide small nuclear RNA is filed under the name Esox lucius (northern pike). RNAcentral's name for it is "U2 spliceosomal RNA". It matches the Rfam family "U2 spliceosomal RNA". Rfam says of the family: U2 is a small nuclear RNA (snRNA) component of the spliceosome (involved in pre-mRNA splicing). Complementary binding between U2 snRNA (in an area lying towards the 5' end but 3' to hairpin I) and the branchpoint sequence (BPS) of the intron results the bulging out of an unpaired adenosine, on the BPS, which initiates a nucleophilic attack at the intronic 5' splice site, thus starting the first of two transesterification reactions that mediate splicing. Lineage: Eukaryota; Metazoa; Chordata; Actinopteri; Esociformes; Esocidae. The record is from Rfam by way of RNAcentral.
AUCGUUUCUCGGCCUGUUGCUAAGAUCAAGUGUAGUAUCUGUUCUUAUCAGUUGAAUAUCUGAUAGUCCCCCAUCUGGGGGACUAUACAUAUUAAAUGGAUUUUUCGAACAGGGAGUCGGAAGCGGGCUUGCUCCGUCCGCUCCACGCAUCGACUCGUAUUGCAGUACCUCCGAGAACGGUGCACCCUCU